RNAcentral lists this ribosomal RNA (253 nucleotides) under uncultured bacterium. RNAcentral describes it as "partial 16S ribosomal RNA". It matches the Rfam family "Bacterial small subunit ribosomal RNA", at positions 524 to 776 of the family's 1533-position model. The record is from RNAcentral.
GACAGAGGGUGCAAACGUUGUUCGGAAUUACUGGGCGUAAAGCGCUUGUAGGCGGCUCGGCAAGUCGGAUGUGAAAGCCCAGGGCUCAACCCUGGAAGUGCACUCGAAACUCCCGAGCUGGAGUCCCGGAGAGGAAGGCGGAAUUCUCGGUGUAGAGGUGAAAUUCGUAGAUAUCGAGAGGAACACCUGUGGCGAAGGCGGCCUUCUGGACGGUGACUGACGCUGAGAUGCGAAAGCGUGGGGAGCAAACAGG